UAUGGAGCUUCAAACCCAACUACACCCCUAACUCUAUAGCCCCUCAACCACACUGGCCCCUGUAUAGUUGAUUUUAGGUUGGGGCGACCACGGAGUAAAACAAAACCUCCAUAAUGAACGGGCCUACCCCCUUAUCUAAGAACCACACCCCCUAAGAAUUAGAAUACUAACAUAAAAUGAUCCAUUAUUUGAUUAAUGAACCAAGUUACCCUAGGGAUAACAGCGCAAUCCAUUUCGAGAGCCCAUAUCGACAAAU
This 256-nucleotide ribosomal RNA is filed under the name Mantidactylus sp. 9 MV-2009. Its description in RNAcentral is "partial 16S ribosomal RNA". The record is from RNAcentral. Lineage: Eukaryota; Metazoa; Chordata; Amphibia; Anura; Mantellidae.